GUCAUGUCAUUUUGGUUCUUGGCAUGUGAAUGAAUUGUCGAGUUUUAUUUUUGUAAUUACUAGUUUGUAAGCCAGUUAUGAUGCUCCAAAUUUCUAGUUCACCCAAACGAUUUUUAUCAAUCUGGCGCAGUCCUGCUCAGAAGACACACAAACACGUUAUAAAACUGGCCACCGUUCGCCUUACUCCAAACUUAAAGCUCCUCUCCUUUAGGGUAUCUCGAAAUUUCCUUUACUUCAGCUUUGCUAAGCCCGAUACAGAUCUUCAUGAAUACAUUGAAUUGUGUGAGGACGAUCUAAUCCAGGAUUAGGGAAGAGAGCGAGCGUUGGAACUAGUAAGAUUAUCUGUUUAUCACUUUUAGUUCAAGGUGUCGAGAUAUUGCACCAAUUUUGGGGUAUAAAGUAUUUUACUAUUCUGAAAUUAUAUAAUAUUGAGUCCAUCCAUUAAACAACGCAACGAGACUUUCGUAAUCUAAACCCAAAAACCACGAUGUUUGUGAGAAAACGAAAAACAAAUAUUAUCAAAAAAACAGAUGCGAUUCUGCCGCAGUUAAUCGCAUUCCUGUAAUUCAAGCCCAUGCGAUACCUUUUUGGUCGUAGAGCCAGAGAAGUGAGUAAGAGAGAGCUCAUUUAAUGUAUAUGAUUGUCAGCAACAAUCCUUUGGCUAUAUUGUGAUAUGCAAAUUUAUUUUUACAAUAAUCACUUGAAACAAAAUAUAAAAGAUUCAUGGAUUGAUAAUUAAACUGGACGAAUUUUCGACACUUUGGUGUACGUCUUCUGUGUUUAUGUAAUAAGUAUAUUGUUGUAAAUCCAGAAAA
Molecule: long non-coding RNA, 815 nt
Organism: Pieris napi
Lineage: Eukaryota; Metazoa; Arthropoda; Insecta; Lepidoptera; Pieridae
Exons: 2
Source: RefSeq, a predicted model, not a curated record